GUUGAUCAUGGCUCAGGAUGAACGCUAGCGGCAGGCUUAAUACAUGCAAGUCGAGGGCAGCACGGGUAGCAAUACCUGGUGGCGACCGGCAAACGGGUGCGGAACACGUACGCAACUUUCCCAAAACUGGUGAAUAGCCCUCCGAAAGGAGGAUUAAUACACCGUAACAUAACGAGUAGGCAUCUACUUGUUAUUAUAGGCUUCGGCCGGUUUUGGAUGGGCGUGCGCCUGAUUAGGUAGUUGGCGGGGUAACGGCCCACCAAGCCUGCGAUCAGUAACUGGUGUGAGAGCACGACCAGUCACACGGGCACUGAGACACGGGCCCGACUCCUACGGGAGGCAGCAGUAAGGAAUAUUGGUCAAUGGACGAAAGUCUGAACCAGCCAUGCCGCGUGAAGGAUUAAGGCCCUCUGGGUUGUAAACUUCUUUUAUCUGGGACGAAAAAAGGGCUUUCUAGCUCACUUGACGGUACCAGAGGAAUAAGCACCGGCUAACUCCGUG
This 501-nucleotide ribosomal RNA is filed under the name uncultured bacterium. RNAcentral's name for it is "bacterial SSU rRNA". It matches the Rfam family "Bacterial small subunit ribosomal RNA", at positions 11 to 507 of the family's 1533-position model. The record is from RNAcentral.